Molecule: ribosomal RNA, 1081 nt
Filed under: Fusarium lateritium
Lineage: Eukaryota; Fungi; Ascomycota; Sordariomycetes; Hypocreales; Nectriaceae
Description: eukaryotic LSU rRNA
Rfam family: Eukaryotic large subunit ribosomal RNA (bases 490-1081)
Source: RNAcentral
GCGGAGGGAUCAUUACCGAGUUUACAACUCCCAAACCCCUGUGAACAUACCUUAAUGUUGCCUCGGCGGAUCAGCCCGCGCCCCGUAAAACGGGACGGCCCGCCAGAGGACCCAAACUCUAAUGUUUCUUAUUGUAACUUCUGAGUAAAACAAACAAAUAAAUCAAAACUUUCAACAACGGAUCUCUUGGUUCUGGCAUCGAUGAAGAACGCAGCAAAAUGCGAUAAGUAAUGUGAAUUGCAGAAUUCAGUGAAUCAUCGAAUCUUUGAACGCACAUUGCGCCCGCUGGUAUUCCGGCGGGCAUGCCUGUUCGAGCGUCAUUUCAACCCUCAAGCCCCCGGGUUUGGUGUUGGGGAUCGGCUCUGCCUUCUGGCGGCGCCGCCCCCGAAAUACAUUGGCGGUCUCGCUGCAGCCUCCAUUGCGUAGUAGCUAACACCUCGCAACUGGAACGCGGCGCGGCCAUGCCGUAAAACCCCAACUUCUGAAUGUUGACCUCGGAUCAGGUAGGAAUACCCGCUGAACUUAAGCAUACCCUAGUAACGGCGAGUGAAGCGGCAACAGCUCAAAUUUGAAAUCUGGCUUUCGGGCCCGAGUUGUAAUUUGUAGAGGAUACUUUUGAUGCGGUGCCUUCCGAGUUCCCUGGAACGGGACGCCAUAGAGGGUGAGAGCCCCGUCUGGUUGGAUGCCAAAUCUCUGUAAAGUUCCUUCGACGAGUCGAGUAGUUUGGGAAUGCUGCUCUAAAUGGGAGGUAUAUGUCUUCUAAAGCUAAAUAUUGGCCAGAGACCGAUAGCGCACAAGUAGAGUGAUCGAAAGAUGAAAAGCACUUUGAAAAGAGAGUUAAAAAGUACGUGAAAUUGUUGAAAGGGAAGCGUUUAUGACCAGACUUGGACUUGGUUAAUCAUCUGGGGUUCUCCCCAGUGCACUUUUCCAGUUCAGGCCAGCAUCAGUUUUCGCCGGGGGAUAAAGGCAGCGGGAAUGUGGCUCUCUUCGGGGAGUGUUAUAGCCCGUUGUGUAAUACCCUGGUGGGGACUGAGGUUCGCGCUUCUGCAAGGAUGCUGGCGUAAUGGUCAUCAACGACCCG